RNAcentral lists this ribosomal RNA (373 nucleotides) under uncultured Glomeromycotina. RNAcentral's name for it is "LSU rRNA". The record is from RNAcentral. Lineage: Eukaryota; Fungi; Glomeromycota.
UUGAAAGGGAAACGAUUGAAGUCAGUCGUACCUGUGGGUAAUCAGCCUUUUGGGUGUGAUUUUGUGGAGUGUGAGGAGUUAAACGCCUUCAUGCCUGCAUAUUCGUGCACUUUGGGUGUAUUUACCCGUGUGGUAAGUUAACAUCAAUUUCGGUGGUCAUAAAAUGGCUGGAGGAAUGUAGCUUCGAUCUUGUAUUGAAGUGUUAUAGCCUUCGGUAGAUGUGAUAAUCGGGAUUGAGGAUUGCAACGGAUACCCCUCGGGGCUACCUGUCUGAUCUCUGAUCGUUGCUCUGGUGCCGAAAGCUUGCUUACGGUUUUCAAAGUCGAUGGUCAAUAGGUUAGAACGGGUUAAAUUCGUUAAGGAUGUUGACGUA